GUGGGGAAUAUUGGACAAUGGGCGAAAGCCUGAUCCAGCCAUGCCGCGUGUGUGAAGAAGGUCUUCGGAUUGUAAAGCACUUUAAGUUGGGAGGAAGGGCAGUAAGUUAAUACCUUGCUGUUUUGACGUUACCGACAGAAUAAGCACCGGCUAACUUCGUGCCAGCAGCCGCGGUAAUACGAAGGGUGCAAGCGUUAAUCGGAAUUACUGGGCGUAAAGCGCGCGUAGGUGGUUUUGUAAGUUGGAGGUGAAAGCCCCGGGCUCAACCUGGGAACUGCCUCCAAAACUGCAUGACUAGAGUACGGUAGAGGGUAGUGGAAUUUCCUGUGUAGCGGUGAAAUGCGUAGAUAUAGGAAGGAACACCAGUGGCGAAGGCGACUACCUGGACUGAUACUGACACUGAGGUGCGAAAGCGUGGGGAGCAAACAGGAUUAGAAACCCGAGUAGUCC
RNAcentral lists this ribosomal RNA (450 nucleotides) under uncultured bacterium. RNAcentral's name for it is "bacterial SSU rRNA". It matches the Rfam family "Bacterial small subunit ribosomal RNA", at positions 354 to 796 of the family's 1533-position model. The record is from RNAcentral.